This 513-nucleotide ribosomal RNA is filed under the name uncultured Gammaproteobacteria bacterium. RNAcentral's name for it is "bacterial SSU rRNA". It matches the Rfam family "Bacterial small subunit ribosomal RNA", at positions 8 to 510 of the family's 1533-position model. The record is from RNAcentral. Lineage: Bacteria; Pseudomonadati; Pseudomonadota; Gammaproteobacteria.
AGAGUUUGAUCAUGGCUCAGAUUGAACGCUGGCGGCAGGCUUAACACAUGCAAGUCGAGCGGAAACGAUGGAAAGCUUGCUUUUCAGGCGUCGAGCGGCGGACGGGUGAGUAAUGCUUGGGAAUAUGCCUUUGAGUGGGGGACAACAGUUGGAAACGACUGCUAAUACCGCAUAACGUCUACGGACCAAAGGGGGGGAUCUUCGGACCUCUCGCUCAUUGAUUAGCCCAAGUGAGAUUAGCUAGUUGGUAAGGUAAUGGCUUACCAAGGCGACGAUCUCUAGCUGGUUUGAGAGGAUGAUCAGCCACACUGGGACUGAGACACGGCCCAGACUCCUACGGGAGGCAGCAGUGGGGAAUAUUGCACAAUGGGCGAAAGCCUGAUGCAGCCAUGCCGCGUGUGUGAAGAAGGCCUUCGGGUUGUAAAGCACUUUCAGUUGUGAGGAAAGGGGUGUAGUUAAUAACUGCAUUCUGUGACGUUAACAACAGAAGAAGCACCGGCUAACUUCGUGCCA